Long non-coding RNA from Gopherus evgoodei (Goodes thornscrub tortoise), 1336 nucleotides. RefSeq lists it as uncharacterized. The transcript is spliced from 6 exons. Lineage: Eukaryota; Metazoa; Chordata; Testudines; Testudinidae. The record is from RefSeq and is a predicted model, not a curated record.
CUAAUACAGGCCUUUAAGUUUUUAUUCCAAAGUACAAUGCACACACAUUGGAAAAAUAGUAUCAAAAUAUAUAUACAAAAAUAACAACUGUUUGCACUGGACUGAUUUCAUAAAAAUAAAAAGAGUGGGCAGUUCAGAGAAAGUUUUGUUAUAGGUUACAAUUGAAGAGCUGGGAUACGUGAAAUAUCCAAGUGGAUGUUCAGUUACCAUGACGACUAAAGAACAGUGGAUAAAAUCCAUUGUUGCCCUACAGAUGGGGCCCAAUUCCCCACUGCCCUAUGAUUUACACCUGGGCAAAAUGGGUGAGCCACUCUCUAUGGUGCAUAGUCUUAUACUUUAUCCCCUUUAAGGGCCAGGGUGUCUGGGGCUGGCCAGCCCUGUUCAGUUAUCAGACCCAGCUGGGAAGGGGGAAGGUGAUCCUUAUGAAAAGGCUGAGAAAACUGCUGAGGAGAGCUGUUGUGGGCCCUGAAGGGAAGGGUGAGUCCUCCUUUCCCCCCAGAGAGGCAAGGGGAAAGUCUAUGGGAGUUACAGCACAGGAUGGGCAGAGGAACUGCUUUUGGUUUUGAUAUUUUGCCUAUAUUUUACCUGCAGGGGAGAGACUUGAGUGUGGCAGUGAGUCCUUCCUGAGGAGGUCAGGAAAUCAAAACUGAAGGGAAGGGAAACUGAGGCAGCAGAGAGCUUGAAGCCAGAGCAGAAUGUACCACUCCCCGUCAUUAAGGGAAGUUUGCUCCUUGACCUGAGAAUACCGCUCAGAAACAAGUGUCUUCCCCUGAGGUCUCAUGGGUGGAUCUGCCUGAAGUACCUUCCUGUGAUACAGCGAUAAGACAUCUGUCUUAUUGAAUAACAUCAAUCAAACCUUAACCAUGCCAUGUCAGAAAGUGUGGGUUGUGACUGACUCAUCAACACAUCUUGCGCAGAGUGUGCUUCUCCAGUCCCAAGAAGUGCCUAGAUCUGGGAUCUGCAUCAGGACCCUUUGGUGCAAGGUGCUGUAUACACAAACAGUUUCAUUAACUUUUCCAGCUAUGGGUAGGAAUGAAAAUGCUGCAUGUUUCUGCUGUGCUCUUCAUCUCAGCAUCUUAAAGUACCUGGCAAGCAUCAAUUACUCUGAGCCUCUGAUCGAGAUCUUUAUUUCUGUACGAUACAAGAAGGCUCCUCCGAGGACCUGGCUCACCAACUCGGCAUUUGGAUAGCUUGCAUAAAAGCCUUCAAAUGAGUGCCUUAUUUUCCUCGCAGUGGCGUGACAGCAGGCAUAGCUGAGCUUCAAGAGUCUCCUGUGAACAGCAGGAUUUGAACCUGUGACUUUCAGCAUCCAGCGCACAGGCUUCUACCUUAUGAG